UCAGGACUUGAGAGAGAUGCACAACACUCGGACUGAAAAGCAGCUGCAGGAACAUGAAGCUCCCUGCCUAUGUAGCCACAGCUGGAGAAGGCCAGUCUACCUCACCUUCUGUACUGUUCCCAGAAAGGACCUCAGCCCCAACACCAGCUUACCAUGUUGUCAUUACUAACCACAUCACCUAGUUUUGACUAGGUCCUUUCUCUGGGUUUAGCUCCUACCUACCUCCCAAGACAGGCUAACAGUACUAAUCAGGAUCGAAGUCUGUAGAAUUGGAAACCUGUAGUAAAGAGAAGUUUGAAUGUUCCUGGGUUGUGUUAGAGAAUGGGUUUUGUGUGCAAACUUUAUUUUAGAGAAAUGAGGUCUUAUUCAGGGUGGAAAGACAGCAGUAAGUGCCGAUGGGGAACCAAGAAGGGCUGGUGUGGUUAUAUUUUGGCUGUGCUCUAACAAAUAAAGCUUGCCUAGAGAUCAGAGCUCGGAGCCAGCCACUAGAGACUGGGCAGUGGUAGCACACACCUUUAAUCCAGCCCUUGGGAUCUCAUGCCUUCGAUCCCAGUACUUGGGAGGAGGAGACAGGAAGUGAUAUGGCUGGGUGGAGAGAGGAAGAGAGAAGGCGAGGUGGAGACAGGAGCUCAGCCCUUUCGGUCUGAGGAUUCAGGAGAGGUAAGAAGUCUCUCUAGUGGCUGGUUUGUUUACUUCUCUGAUCUUUCAGCAUUUAACCCCUAUAUCUGACUCCAGGUUUUUAUUAUUUAGACCAAUUGUACAGUCCUUAUUUGCCUCUUCAGAUCCGUUCUCCAUCCUUUUCUACUCUGCUCUACGCCAAUGUCUUGACCUUUAUCGCCAGUGCUAACCUGACCAAUGAGAAGCACUGACUUAAGACAUGGGCUUCGGACAAUUAAGCAAAAGAGAUGGGAGUGAAUUCCCAUACGGAAUUCACUAGUACAAAUGUUUGCUUUAUUCUGCUCUAAGGGAACCAGACUCUCUCUGAAUAAAAAUUUACUAAUCACUAAACGUUUCCAUUUGUCUUUUUCAUUUGAAGGCUGACAAAAGCCAGACUGGUCUUGAAGAAUGAAUGUGGGUUUAUACAAACCUAAAUGUGGAAUUCGGCACAAGCUUACAGUUAUCCCCAUAGAGAAACCUCAGUUGAAAAAAUGUAUCCAUCUGUGUGGAGGCCCACAGGGGCUUCCUAGUAAGACCUUACUCAAGGUCAGAGAAUCUGAACUUGCUUUACUCAGCAGGGCUACAUAAUGGGAGUGAUUCGGCCACAUGCGUGAGUACCAGAACUCUUCAACAGCUUGGAGCUGGACUCUGAUGGACUCCCACACAUCUGUAAGCAAGUACGUGGUGGGAAUUCUCUUGAUUAAUAAUUGAUGUAAGAUGCCCAGUUCACUGUGGGGCCUGGGCAGGUGGUCCUAGAUUGUAUAAGAAAGCAGGCUGAGUAAGUCAUGAGUAUCAAGCCAGUAAACAGCAUUUCUCUAUUGCAUUUACUUUGGUUCCUGCCUCCAGGUUCUUACCUUGAGUUCCUGCCAUUUUUUUUUUCAGUGAUGGAGUGUGACCUGAGAGAUUUAAGCUAAAAUAAACCCUUUCCUCCUCAAGUUGCUUUGGUCAUGGUGUUUUAUCACAGCAGUAGAAAUCCUAACUAACACAGAUGCCUAUGGCAUCUCCUCAUUGACUAAGAUGAUUCCACAUGGACUUUUCUUUCUGUGACUUGAAUGGUUCUGGUUGAAUAUACAUAUACCAGUAGCCAUGUCACAAUAGCAGGUGGCAAUUGAAGUUCUAGGUGUCAGCCCACCGGAAGAAUAACUCUGUGAUGGGUAAAGCUCAUUAAGCAAGGUCACAAGACUACAGACUCCAGAAUGUCUUUCGCUUCUGUUGUUCCUCCACAUGUUUGCUGCUGCAGUCUUUCCCUGGUACCUGGCACAGUGUGAGGGGGUGUGGGAAGUCCCCCACUGCCUGUAUUAUAGUGUGUUUAUCUCAUGAAAACAUCCUGAUCUACUGGGCAUUUUUAUCUAUGGAUUGUCAAGAAGAUGAUUCCUCCUUAAGCUGUACUGUCUAAUUAAUAUUAAUAAUGUUAGCUUAUACAGAGUUUUGAUGAAUAAAAUAAAUACAAAGAAAUGCUACACAGUCAGGGUCUAUGAGUUCCCCCUAAAGAGUUGCUUCAGACACAGCUCAAAUUAAUGAUUAACUAUGAACCAGAUUGGCUCAAAUUCCUUUAAUUUUAUUUCUGAGAAAUGUGUGCACCAUAGCUGAAACAAAGCUUCAGAUUAACUUUAGA
Peromyscus eremicus (cactus mouse) is the source of this 2272-nucleotide long non-coding RNA. RefSeq lists it as uncharacterized. Lineage: Eukaryota; Metazoa; Chordata; Mammalia; Rodentia; Cricetidae. The transcript has 3 exons. The record is from RefSeq and is a predicted model, not a curated record.